GCAGGAUGGAGGGUGCUUGGAGAGGAAGGAGGUGGCUGGCCGAAUUGGGGUGGAGGGUGCAAAUCUGCUCUGCUAUCCACACCCCUGGUCUUUGGGUCUACAUUAGCUUUCUCUCUCGCUGUUCCUCCCCGCCUCCCUCCUUCCCUUCCUUUCUCCCUUCUCUCUUUCUCUCUCCAUUCUUUCUCCGUCUGCCCGUGACUGUCUCCCUGUCUCUAUCUUUUUUGUGUUACCAUUUCUUUGCCUCUCCGUUCUCUCUCUUUAUUUCGCUUUACCUCUCUGGUUAUUUGACUCUGUCUCUGUCCCCAUCUCUGGGUCCAUCUCUGUAUGUCUCACUGUCUCCAUCUCUCUGCCUCUCCGAUUCUCUCUCUUUCUCUCUGUUUCUGACCAUCUUACUCUGUCUUUGCUGCUUUAAUUCUGUUUCUGUGAAUGUGUCUGUCUGUCCGUCUCUCUCCAGGACAAAGAAGGAUGCCCUUGGUGGAGACUCUCAGCCCCUGCAUUUGGAUUGCUGCCCGGCCCCCUGCCCCUCCUCCUCCCACAAACAGUUGUGCUGACAUCUCAGGAAAGAAGGGCCUGAGUGGGGGCUUCAUGGAGCCCAUUGUACAGAUGGGGAAGCUAAGGCUCAGAGAUGCAGGCAGGCAGGCCCCAAGGUUCCCAGGCCCCAGCCUUGGAGAUAGCUCUUGGAGACCCCAACUCACCAUCUCCUACUCAGCUGUUAAUGCCUCCCAGACUGAUCCUGUGCUUCUGCUGGGGACCUGGGCCUGCCUGCCGUGAGUCCCGUGAUAGAAAAAUGGUCACCAGCGACUGGCCUGAACGGUCUCCACAAGUCAGCUUGGCCACAGAGUUCUAAAGUGAUUUCCGUCAACCAAUAAACUGGAGAUGCUGGAUGAAAUAAAGCUCUCAGAG
Long non-coding RNA from Bos taurus (domestic cattle), 903 nucleotides. The record is from Ensembl. NCBI's taxonomy places the organism in Eukaryota, Metazoa, Chordata, Mammalia, Artiodactyla, Bovidae.